RNAcentral lists this unclassified non-coding RNA (480 nucleotides) under uncultured Scutellospora. Its description in RNAcentral is "SSU rRNA". It matches the Rfam family "Eukaryotic small subunit ribosomal RNA", at positions 569 to 1056 of the family's 1831-position model. The record is from RNAcentral. Lineage: Eukaryota; Fungi; Glomeromycota; Glomeromycetes; Diversisporales; Gigasporaceae.
AGCAGCCGCGGUAAUUCCAGCUCCAAUAGCGUAUAUUAAAGUUGCUGCAGUUAAAAAGCUCGUAGUUGAAUUUCGGGAUCAAUAUGUUGGUCGUGCCUCGGUACGUACUAGCUUAUUGGUUUCUCCCUUCUGACGAACCAUGAUGUCAUUUAUUUGGUGUUAUGGGAAAUCAGGACUGUUACUUUGAAAAAUUAGAGUGUUUAAAGCAGGCUCACGCUUGAAUACAUUAGCAUGGAAUAAUGAAAUAGGACGUUUGAUUCUAUUUUGUUGGUUUCUAGGAUCGACGUAAUGAUUAAUAGGGAUAGUUGGGGGCAUUAGUAUUCAAUUGUCAGAGGUGAAAUUCUUGGAUUUAUUGAAGACUAACUACUGCGAAAGCAUUUGCCAAGGAUGUUUUCAUUAAUCAAGAACGAAAGUUAGGGGAUCGAAGACGAUCAGAUACCGUCGUAGUCUUAACCAUAAACUAUGCCGACUAGGGAUCGG